Molecule: ribosomal RNA, 488 nt
Filed under: uncultured bacterium
Lineage: Bacteria
Description: bacterial SSU rRNA
Rfam family: Bacterial small subunit ribosomal RNA
Source: RNAcentral
AGAGUUUGAUCCUGGCUCGAAGGACGAACGCUGGCGGCGUGCUUAACACAUGCAAGUCGAACGGAAAGGCCCAGCUUGCUGGGUACUCGAGUGGCGAACGGGUGAGUAACACGUGGGUGAUCUGCCCCAAACUUCGGGAUAAGCCUGGGAAACUGGGUCUAAUACCGGAUAUGACCUGCUCCUGCAUGGGGGUUGGUGGAAAGCUUUUGCGGUUUGGGAUGGGCCCGCGGCCUAUCAGCUUGUUGGUGGGGUAAUGGCCUACCAAGGCGACGACGGGUAGCCGACCUGAGAGGGUGAUCGGCCACACUGGGACUGAGACACGGCCCAGACUCCUACGGGAGGCAGCAGUGGGGAAUAUUGCACAAUGGGCGCAAGCCUGAUGCAGCGACGCCGCGUGAGGGAUGACGGCCUUCGGGUUGUAAACCUCUUUCGCCAGGGACGAAGCGCAAGUGACGGUACCUGGAGAAGAAGCACCGGCCAACUACGUG